This 406-nucleotide ribosomal RNA is filed under the name uncultured bacterium. RNAcentral describes it as "partial 16S ribosomal RNA". It matches the Rfam family "Bacterial small subunit ribosomal RNA", at positions 30 to 526 of the family's 1533-position model. The record is from RNAcentral.
AUUGAACGCUGGCGGCAGGCUUAACACAUGCAAGUCGAGCGAGAGGCGGACGGGUGAGUAAUGUCUGGGAAACUGCCUGCUGGAGGGGGAUAACUACUGAAAAAGGUAGCUAAUAGCGCAUACCAUCAGAUGUGCCCAGAUGGGCUUAGCUAGUAGGUGGGGUAAUGGAUCACCUAGGCGACGAUCCCUAGCUGGUCUGAGAGGACGACCAGCCACACUGGAACUGAGACACGGUCCAGACUCCUACGCGAGGCAGCAGUGGGGAAUAGUGUCCAAUGGGCGCAAGCCUGAUGCAGCCAUGCCGCGUGUGUGAUGAAGGCCUUCGGGUUGUAAAGCACUUUCAGCGAGGAGGCGUUACUCGCAGAAGAAGCACCGGCUAACUCCGUGCCAGCAGCCGCGGUAAUAC